UGCCGCGUGCAGGAUGAAGGCCUUCGGGUUGUAAACUGCUUUUGUACGGAACGAAAAAGCUUCUCCUAAUACNAGAGGCCCAUGACGGUACCGUAAGAAUAAGCACCGGCUAACUACGUGCCAGCAGCCGCGGUAAUACGUAGGGUGCGAGCGUUAAUCGGAAUUACUGGGCGUAAAGCGUGCGCAGGCGGUUAUGUAAGACAGAUGUGAAAUCCCCGGGCUCAACCUGGGAACUGCAUUUGUGACUGCAUGGCUAGAGUACGGUAGAGGGGGAUGGAAUUCCGCGUGUAGCAGUGAAAUGCGUANAUAUGCGGAGGAACACCGAUGGCGAAGGCAAUCCCCUGGACCUGUACUGACGCUCAUGCACGAAAGCGUGGGGAGCAAACAGGAUUAGAUACCCUGGUAGUCCACGCCCUAAACGAUGUCAACUGGUUGUUGGGAAUUANUUUUCUCAGUAACGAAGCUAACGCGUGAAGUUGACCGCCUGGGGAGUACGGCCGCAAGGU
This 506-nucleotide ribosomal RNA is filed under the name uncultured bacterium. RNAcentral's name for it is "bacterial SSU rRNA". It matches the Rfam family "Bacterial small subunit ribosomal RNA", at positions 395 to 894 of the family's 1533-position model. The record is from RNAcentral.